Molecule: transfer RNA, 74 nt
Filed under: Pediococcus pentosaceus
Lineage: Bacteria; Bacillati; Bacillota; Bacilli; Lactobacillales; Lactobacillaceae
Description: tRNA-Arg
Rfam family: tRNA
About the family: Transfer RNA (tRNA) molecules are approximately 80 nucleotides in length. Their secondary structure includes four short double-helical elements and three loops (D, anti-codon, and T loops). Further hydrogen bonds mediate the characteristic L-shaped molecular structure. tRNAs have two regions of fundamental functional importance: the anti-codon, which is responsible for specific mRNA codon recognition, and the 3' end, to which the tRNAs corresponding amino acid is attached (by aminoacyl-tRNA synthetases). tRNAs cope with the degeneracy of the genetic code in two manners: having more than one tRNA (with a specific anti-codon) for a particular amino acid; and 'wobble' base-pairing, i.e. permitting non-standard base-pairing at the 3rd anti-codon position.
Source: RNAcentral
GUAGAUGUAGCUCAACGGGACAGAGCGUCUGAUUACGAAUCAGAAGGUCGUAGGUUCGAAUCCUAUUAUCUACA